Molecule: ribosomal RNA, 429 nt
Filed under: Chloroflexota bacterium
Lineage: Bacteria; Bacillati; Chloroflexota
Description: Chloroflexi bacterium partial 16S ribosomal RNA
Rfam family: Bacterial small subunit ribosomal RNA
Source: RNAcentral
UGGGGAAUAUUGCACAAUGGGCGCAAGCCUGAUGCAGCCAUGCCGCGUGUGUGAAGAAGGCCUUCGGGUUGUAAAGCACUUUCAGCGGGGAGGAAGGCGGUGAGGUUAAUAACCUCAUCGAUUGACGUUACCCGCAGAAGAAGCACCGGCUAACUCCGUGCCAGCAGCCGCGGUAAUACGGAGGGUGCAAGCGUUAAUCGGAAUUACUGGGCGUAAAGCGCACGCAGGCGGUCUGUCAAGUCGGAUGUGAAAUCCCCGGGCUAAACCUGGGAACUGCAUUCGAAACUGGCAGGUUAGAGUCUUGUAGAGGGGGGUAGAAUUCCAGGUGUAGCGGUGAAAUGCGUAGAGAUCUGGAGGAAUACCGGUGGAGAAGGCGGCCCCCUGGACAAAGACUGACGCUCAGGUGCGAAAGCGUGGGGAGCAAACAGG